UAAGCGGAGGAAAAGAAACUAACAAGGAUUCCCCUAGUAACUGCGAGUGAAGCGGGAAAAGCUCAAAUUUAAAAUCUGGCGGUCUUUGGCCGUCCGAGUUGUAAUUUAGAGAAGCGUCUUCCGCGCUGGACCGUGCACAAGUCUCCUGGAAUGGAGCGUCAUAGAGGGUGAGAAUCCCGUCNNGGCACGGAUGCCUGGUGCUUCUGUGAUGCGCUCUCGAAGAGUCGAGUUGUUUGGGAAUGCAGCUCAAAAUGGGUGGUGAACUCCAUCUAAAGCUAAAUAUUGGCGAGAGACCGAUAGCGAACAAGUACCGUGAGGGAAAGAUGAAAAGCACUUUGGAAAGAGAGUGAAACAGUACGUGAAAUUGUUGAAAGGGAAACGCUUGAAGUCAGUCGCGUCGACCGAGACUCAGCCUUGCCUUGGCUUGGUGUACUUCUCGGCCCGACGGGUCAGCAUCAAUUUUGCCCCACGGAUAAUGGCAAGGGAAAGGUGGCACCUUUACGGGUGUGUUAUAGUCUCCUGUCGAAUGCGAGGGGUGGGAUUGAGGAACUCAGCGCGCACCUCAGUGUCGGGGCUUCGGCCCACGUCACGCGCUUAGGAUGCUGGCGUAAUGGCUUUAA
This 620-nucleotide ribosomal RNA is filed under the name uncultured Russulaceae. Its description in RNAcentral is "LSU rRNA". It matches the Rfam family "Eukaryotic large subunit ribosomal RNA", at positions 47 to 643 of the family's 3401-position model. The record is from RNAcentral. Lineage: Eukaryota; Fungi; Basidiomycota; Agaricomycetes; Russulales; Russulaceae.